This 466-nucleotide ribosomal RNA is filed under the name uncultured bacterium. Its description in RNAcentral is "partial 16S ribosomal RNA". It matches the Rfam family "Bacterial small subunit ribosomal RNA", at positions 28 to 507 of the family's 1533-position model. The record is from RNAcentral.
GAUGAACGCUGGCGGCGUGCUUAACACAUGCAAGUCGAACGAUGAAGCCCAGCUUGCUGGGUGGUUUAGUGGCGAACGGGUGAUUAACACGUGAGUAACCUGCCCUUAACUCUGGGAUAAGCCUGGUAAACUGGGUCUAAUACCGUAUAGGAUCGUCCACCGCAUGGUGGGUGUUGGACAUAUUUAUCGGUUUUGGAUGGACUCGCGGCCUAUCAGCUUGUUGGUGAGGUAAUGGCUCACCAAGGCGACGACGGGUCGCCGGCAUGAGAGGGUGACCGGCCACAAGGGGACUGAGAGACGGACCAGACUCGUACGGGAGGCAGCAGUGGGGAAUAUUGCACAAUGGGCGCAAGCCUGAUGCAGAGACGCCGCGUGAGGGAAGACGGCCUUCGGGUUGUAAACCUAUUACAGUAGGGAAGAAGCGAAAGUGACGGUACCUGCAGAAGAAGCACCGGCUAACUACGUG